RNAcentral lists this ribosomal RNA (301 nucleotides) under uncultured bacterium. RNAcentral's name for it is "partial 16S ribosomal RNA". It matches the Rfam family "Bacterial small subunit ribosomal RNA", at positions 509 to 807 of the family's 1533-position model. The record is from RNAcentral.
CAGUAGCCGCGGGAAAACGUAGGUGGCAAGCGUUGUCCGGAAUUAUUGGGCGUAAAGGGCUCGCAGGCGGUUUCUUAAGUCUGAUGUGAAAGCCCCCGGCCCAACCGGGGAGGGUCAUUGGAAACUGGGAAACUUGAGUGCAGAAGAGGAGAGUGGAAUUCCACGUGUAGCGGUGAAAUGCGUAGAGAUGUGGAGGAACACCAGUGGCGAAGGCGACUCUCUGGCCUGUAACUGACGCUGAGGAGCGAAAGCGUGGGGAGCGAACAGGAUUAGAUACCCCGGUAGUCCCUGUCUCUUAUAC